GCAGCCGGGAGAAUAGCGGACUCCUGUACCAUCAAUCCGCUACAGUUGGGGUGAUAUCCUGCCCCGGGUCUGAUUCUGCAAGGCAGCCUUCGGCCAAGGGGUGUUGAAGCCUGGGUCUUGCGCAGCGAGGCGCCGUGAACCGUGUCAGGUUGGGAACAAAGCAGCACUAAGCGGAUGUCCUUGGGUGCCGCAAGGGUGCCUGGGCCGAGCCACUUGCCGAAGAAGCGCUUCCAGAUAGGAUUCAAAGCAGGAUGCACG
RNAcentral lists this signal recognition particle RNA (258 nucleotides) under bovine gut metagenome. RNAcentral describes it as "Bacterial large signal recognition particle RNA". It matches the Rfam family "Bacterial large signal recognition particle RNA". Rfam says of the family: The signal recognition particle (SRP) is a universally conserved ribonucleoprotein involved in the co-translational targeting of proteins to membranes. Archaeal SRP consists of a 7S RNA and homologues of the eukaryotic SRP19 and SRP54 proteins. The record is from RNAcentral.